CAGCAGCCGCGGUAAUACGUAGGUGGCGAGCGUUGUCCGGAAUUAUUGGGCGCAAAGCGCGCGCAGGCGGAUAGGUCAGUCUGUCUUAAAAGUUCGGGGCUUAACCCCGUGAUGGGAUGGAAACUGCCAAUCUAGAGUAUCGGAGAGGAAAGUGGAAUUCCUAGUGUAGCGGUGAAAUGCGUAGAUAUUAGGAAGAACACCAGUGGCGAAGGCGACUUUCUGGACGAAAACUGACGCUGAGGCGCGAAAGCCAGGGGAGCGAACGGGAUUAGAUACCCCCGUAGUCCCUGUCUCUUAUACA
RNAcentral lists this ribosomal RNA (301 nucleotides) under uncultured bacterium. RNAcentral describes it as "partial 16S ribosomal RNA". It matches the Rfam family "Bacterial small subunit ribosomal RNA", at positions 509 to 809 of the family's 1533-position model. The record is from RNAcentral.